Molecule: ribosomal RNA, 238 nt
Filed under: uncultured bacterium
Lineage: Bacteria
Description: partial 16S ribosomal RNA
Rfam family: Bacterial small subunit ribosomal RNA
Source: RNAcentral
CGUUGCUCGGAAUCACUGGGCGUAAAGCGCACGUAGGCGGACUCUUAAGUCGGUGGUGAAAUCCUGGAGCUCAACUCCAGAACUGCCUUCGAUACUGGGAGUCUCGAGUUCGGGAGAGGUGAGUGGAACUGCGAGUGUAGAGGUGAAAUUCGUAGAUAUUCGCAAGAACACCAGUGGCGAAGGCGGCUCACUGGCCCGAUACUGACGCUGAGGUGCGAAAGCGUGGGGAGCAAACAGG